GACAGAGGGUGCAAACGUUGUUCGGAUUUACUGGGCGUAAAGCGCGUGUAGGCGGCCUUGCAAGUCGGAUGUGAAAGCCCACGGCUCAACCGUGGAAGUGCAUCCGAAACUGCAUAGCUUGAGUCUCGGAGAGGAAGGUGGAAUGCUUGGUGUAGAGGUGAAAUUCGUAGAUAUCAAGCAGAACACCUGCGGCGAAGGCGGCCUUCUGGACGAUGACUGAUGCUGAGACGCGAAAGCGUGGGGAGCAAACAGG
This 253-nucleotide ribosomal RNA is filed under the name uncultured bacterium. RNAcentral's name for it is "partial 16S ribosomal RNA". It matches the Rfam family "Bacterial small subunit ribosomal RNA", at positions 524 to 776 of the family's 1533-position model. The record is from RNAcentral.